This is a long non-coding RNA of Eucalyptus grandis, 491 nucleotides long. RefSeq lists it as uncharacterized. The record is from RefSeq and is a predicted model, not a curated record. Lineage: Eukaryota; Viridiplantae; Streptophyta; Magnoliopsida; Myrtales; Myrtaceae. The transcript has 3 exons.
ACAACAACGGCGACUGCUGCUUCUUCAUCGUUGAAGCUGCUCGUUCAAGGCGAGGUAGCGAUAGGAGGAGGAGGAGCGGGUAAGCAGCAGAAGAAGAACGGCGCAGCAGAAGGAAGAAACCGCAAAGCCCUUGGCGACAUUGGCAAUCUCGUCAUUGUUCGAGGCAUCGAAGGCAAGAAAAGGCUGCAAGAGUUUGAAGCCACUUUGAAGCCACGCUUACUACUUCUCCAAGAGAUACCAUAGCAAUGGAGAUUGUGGAUGAUACAUCAAAUGAGCAAGCAAUGGAGAUAAACAUACUUCGGAAAAGUAUCGCAAAUCAAAUGGCAAGGGAUUACAAUAUGCCAGAGAUUCCAUAACUUUAUGUUUCCGACUUUUGUAAUAUUGUUAUUAAUUAUUGACUUAUCAAAGCCAAUAUUUCAAAGUUGAACAAUGGACUAAGUUACUUCAGUAUUCAUUUAUGGAUAAGUUGUAGUGAUGAGUUUCUCAUUAAA